GGAUUGUGGCUCAGUGGUAGAGUGCUUGCCUAGCAUGUGUGAGGCACUGGGUUCGAUUCUUAGCACCA
This 68-nucleotide transfer RNA is filed under the name Marmota monax (woodchuck). Its description in RNAcentral is "tRNA.Ala". The record is from RNAcentral. Lineage: Eukaryota; Metazoa; Chordata; Mammalia; Rodentia; Sciuridae.